RNAcentral lists this ribosomal RNA (266 nucleotides) under Escherichia coli. RNAcentral describes it as "partial 23S ribosomal RNA". It matches the Rfam family "Bacterial large subunit ribosomal RNA", at positions 1132 to 1397 of the family's 2925-position model. RNAcentral also lists the same sequence under 1 other name. Lineage: Bacteria; Pseudomonadati; Pseudomonadota; Gammaproteobacteria; Enterobacterales; Enterobacteriaceae. The record is from RNAcentral.
GCGUAAUAGCUCACUGGUCGAGUCGGCCUGCGCGGAAGAUGUAACGGGGCUAAACCAUGCACCGAAGCUGCGGCAGCGACACUAUGUGUUGUUGGGUAGGGGAGCGUUCUGUAAGCCUGUGAAGGUGGCCUGUGAGGGUUGCUGGAGGUAUCAGAAGUGCGAAUGCUGACAUAAGUAACGAUAAAGCGGGUGAAAAGCCCGCUCGCCGGAAGACCAAGGGUUCCUGUCCAACGUUAAUCGGGGCAGGGUGAGUCGACCCCUAAGGC